RNAcentral lists this ribosomal RNA (117 nucleotides) under Camelus dromedarius (Arabian camel). Lineage: Eukaryota; Metazoa; Chordata; Mammalia; Artiodactyla; Camelidae. The record is from RNAcentral.
UGUCACGGCCAUACCACCCUGAACGCGCCCGAUCUCGCCUGAUCUCGGAAGCUAACAGGGUCGGGCCUGGUUAGUACUGGAUGGGAGACCGCCUGGGAAUACCGGGUGCUGUAGGCU